UACGGGGGGAGCAAGCGUUGUUCGGAAUUAUUGGGCGUAAAGAGCUUGUAGGCGGUUUGUCGCGUCUGCUGUGAAAAUCCGGGGCUCAACCCCGGACUUGCAGUGGGUACGGGCAGACUAGAGUGUGGUAGGGGAGACUGGAAUUCCUGGUGUAGCGGUGAAAUGCGCAGAUAUCAGGAGGAACACCGAUGGCGAAGGCAGGUCUCUGGGCCACUACUGACGCUGAGAAGCGAAAGCAUGGGGAGCGAACAGG
Molecule: ribosomal RNA, 253 nt
Filed under: uncultured bacterium
Lineage: Bacteria
Description: partial 16S ribosomal RNA
Rfam family: Bacterial small subunit ribosomal RNA
Source: RNAcentral